Molecule: ribosomal RNA, 488 nt
Filed under: uncultured bacterium
Lineage: Bacteria
Description: bacterial SSU rRNA
Rfam family: Bacterial small subunit ribosomal RNA
Source: RNAcentral
AGAGUUUGAUUCUGGCUCAGAUUGAACGCUGGCGGCAUGCCUUACACAUGCAAGUCGAACGGCAGCACGGGGGCAACCCUGGUGGCGAGUGGCGAACGGGUGAGUAAUACAUCGGAACGUGUCCAGUCGUGGGGGAUAACCAGUCGAAAGACUGGCUAAUACCGCAUGCGCCCGAAAGGGGAAAGCGGGGGACCGCAAGGCCUCGCGCGAUUGGAGCGGCCGAUGUCCGAUUAGCUAGUUGGUGAGGUAACGGCUCACCAAGGCGACGAUCGGUAGCUGGUCUGAGAGGACGACCAGCCACACUGGGACUGAGACACGGCCCAGACUCCUACGGGAGGCAGCAGUGGGGAAUUUUGGACAAUGGGGGCAACCCUGAUCCAGCCAUGCCGCGUGUGUGAUGAAGGCCUUCGGGUUGUAAAGCACUUUCGGACGGAACGAAAUCGCACGGGCGAAUAUCCCGUGUGGAUGACGUACCUAGAGAAGCCCCG